ACCCUUAUUCCAUUUGUUAUUCCUUGGUUAGUCAUUUGCUGUUUUUCUUUCAUUUAUGUACCAUUGUUCAUGACAAGUGAAAACCAAUGAUCUUUAUGCUUGUGGUUUGUUUCGGGCCAUUUGUUACUCGUUGGAUUUUGGUGUUGACUGGAUUAUGCUGCUUUCAUGUGUAAUAUUUAUUCUUGUAUUGUCGCUGUUAGAUAUUCAGUAUGUCAUAAACCAAAUUAAAUC
RNAcentral lists this long non-coding RNA (231 nucleotides) under Lathyrus oleraceus (garden pea). Its description in RNAcentral is "Pisum sativum (pea) long non-coding RNA (PSAT_LNC005255)". Lineage: Eukaryota; Viridiplantae; Streptophyta; Magnoliopsida; Fabales; Fabaceae. The record is from RNAcentral.